GCUAACUCUCUUUUCCGACUCAGCCCGCCUGUACCCAGGUGAUUAAAAAGCUUUAUUGCUCACACAAAGCCUCUUUGGUGGUCUCUUCACACAGACCCAUGUGAAAUUUGGUGCCGUGACUCAGAUCGGGGGACCUCCCUUGGGAGAUCAAUCCCUGGUCCUCCUGCUCUUUGCUACAUGAGAAAGAUCCACCUACGACCUCUGGUCCUCAGACCAACCAGUCCAAGGAAUAUCUCACCAAUUUUAAAUUGGCUUAGCAGCUGAAGACUGAGGCUGCCCGAACACCUCAGAAGCCUCCUGGACCAUCACAGAUGCUUACAGUGGAGGAAGACAGCAAUGUCAGACCUCUGAACCCAAGCAUGCACGUAUUCAUCCAGAUUGCCUGAAGUAACUGAAGAAUGACAAAAGAAGUGAAAAUGGCCAGUUCCUGCCUUAAUUGAUGACAUCACCUUGUGAAAUUCCUUUUCCUGGCUCAUCCUGGCUCAAAAGCUCCCCCACUGAGCACCUUAUGACCCCCACCCCUGCCAGCCAGAGAACAACCUCCUUUGACUGUAAUUUUCCACUACCUACCCAAAUCCUAUAAAACAGCCCCACCCCUAUCUCCCUUCACUGGCUUUCUUUUCGGACUCAGCUUGCCUGCACCCAGGUGAAAUAAACAGCUUUAUUGCUCACACAAA
Long non-coding RNA from Homo sapiens (human), 677 nucleotides. The record is from Ensembl. Lineage: Eukaryota; Metazoa; Chordata; Mammalia; Primates; Hominidae.